Molecule: ribosomal RNA, 450 nt
Filed under: uncultured bacterium
Lineage: Bacteria
Description: partial 16S ribosomal RNA
Rfam family: Bacterial small subunit ribosomal RNA
Source: RNAcentral
AGCGAACAUUGGCGGUAGGCUUAACACAUGCAAGUCGAGCGAGGCGUAAUAGUCGAGCGGCGAACGGGUGAGUAAUACAUGGGAAUCUACCUUGGAGUGGGGGAUAACAGCCAGAAAUGGCUGCUAAUACAGCAUACUCCCGAGAGGGGACAGCGCGCUGCGCCCCAAGAUGAGCCCAUGGCUGAUUAGCCAGUUGGUGGGGUAAAGGCCUACCAAGGCGACGAUCAGUAGCUGGUUUGAGAGGAUGAUCAGCCACACUGGAACUGAGACACGGUCCAUACUCCUACGGGAGUCAGCAGUGGGGAAUCUUGCGCAAUGGGGGCAACCCUGACGCAGCCAUACCGCGUGUGCGAUGAAGGUCUUCGGAUUGUAAAGCACUUUCAGUAGGGACGACGAUGACGGUACCUACAGAAGAAGUCACGGCUAACUUCGUGCCAGCCGCCGCGGUAA